GUGCAGUACAAGAAGAUAUUUUGAGGGAAGAAGAGGGACACACAAACUGUGUCAACAAUGGCAGUCUGGGCACAACCACUUCAGCCUUGCAAGUAACAAAGCUGGAGAGAGCUCCAAGAUCAACCUAGCUGCAAACCUUGGGAAUCUGGCUUCCAUCAGGCCCAAGGCGCUAAGAACCGGUGACAGAGUGACAUCAUGA
Molecule: long non-coding RNA, 199 nt
Organism: Lutra lutra (Eurasian river otter)
Lineage: Eukaryota; Metazoa; Chordata; Mammalia; Carnivora; Mustelidae
Exons: 3
Source: RefSeq, a predicted model, not a curated record